AUACUUACCUAUCACAGGGGAUACCGUGAUCACAAAGGCGGUUCCCUUAGGGCUAGGCCUGGCCCUGGGUUGAUCCCUGCAAUUAUCCCUCAUGUGAAUAACUCGUGUGCGCAAUUUUUGGUAGCCGUCAUGA
This 133-nucleotide small nuclear RNA is filed under the name Anopheles maculatus. RNAcentral's name for it is "U1 spliceosomal RNA". It matches the Rfam family "U1 spliceosomal RNA". From Rfam's summary of the family: U1 is a small nuclear RNA (snRNA) component of the spliceosome (involved in pre-mRNA splicing). Its 5' end forms complementary base pairs with the 5' splice junction, thus defining the 5' donor site of an intron. There are significant differences in sequence and secondary structure between metazoan and yeast U1 snRNAs, the latter being much longer (568 nucleotides as compared to 164 nucleotides in human). The record is from RNAcentral. Lineage: Eukaryota; Metazoa; Arthropoda; Insecta; Diptera; Culicidae.